RNAcentral lists this ribosomal RNA (418 nucleotides) under uncultured bacterium. RNAcentral describes it as "bacterial SSU rRNA". It matches the Rfam family "Bacterial small subunit ribosomal RNA", at positions 361 to 776 of the family's 1533-position model. The record is from RNAcentral.
AUAUUGGUCAAUGGAGGGAACUCUGAACCAGCCAUGCCGCGUGCAGGAUGACUGCCCUAUGGGUUGUAAACUGCUUUUGUCAGGGAAUAAACCUUUCCACGUGUGGGAAGCUGAAUGUACCUGAAGAAUAAGGAUCGGCUAACUCCGUGCCAGCAGCCGCGGUAAUACGGAGGAUCCAGGCGUUAUCCGGAUUUAUUGGGUUUAAAGGGUGCGUAGGCGGUCCUAUAAGUCAGUGGUGAAAGACGGCAGCUUAACUGUCGCAGUGCCUUUGAUACUGUAGGACUUGAAUCUAUUUGAAGUGGGCGGAAUAAGACAAGUAGCGGUGAAAUGCAUAGAUAUGUCUUAGAACUCCGAUUGCGAAGGCAGCUCACUAAGUUAGUAUUGACGCUGAUGCACGAAAGCGUGGGGAUCAAACAGG